This is a long non-coding RNA of Lolium rigidum, 564 nucleotides long. RefSeq lists it as uncharacterized. The record is from RefSeq and is a predicted model, not a curated record. NCBI's taxonomy places the organism in Eukaryota, Viridiplantae, Streptophyta, Magnoliopsida, Poales, Poaceae. The transcript is spliced from 2 exons.
GACAUUAUUGCAAUUUACGCUCAAAUGAAAGAAAUAAUUGAUCUGAAAUUAGAUUUCUGCAAGCAAGAUAGAACUGUUUUUGAUCAAUUGAUAGACUUUUAUAUUGUGGCCAUCGUCCUCAGCGUCAACAAUUAGUCCAACCAAAGAUGCAAGAUUCCAGGUGUUGAGAUGCAUAGGUCGGCAAGUCUGUUGGCGUUAAAGGGGUAGGAGGUGUUGUUUAAGUAUGAUGUUAAACAUGAGCAUGCUCUGAGGCUGAUUGGUUCAUACCAUCAGGGCAUAAACCCGAUGGCUAGACUCUCCAGCAAUCCCAUGAGAUGGACAUGUGAGCUGCAUUUGACCGUUGAUUGUUUAUCUUUGUCAAAAACCCAAACUGAUAACCCUAUAACAGUUAAUUCAUAUGGUCAGAGUUAACUUUUCGAUGCCUUGAAACUCAUGUAAUUACUUUAGUUUUGAAAGUGUGCAUGACAAGCAUGGCACUGUAUUAUAUGUACAGGUAGAAUGCUAAGAAUUAUGGUAGAAAAUUAGAUUUUAGUAGUUAAGUUAAAUUUCAUUGAAGUAUGCUAA